This is a long non-coding RNA of Octopus bimaculoides (California two-spot octopus), 1306 nucleotides long. RefSeq lists it as uncharacterized. NCBI's taxonomy places the organism in Eukaryota, Metazoa, Mollusca, Cephalopoda, Octopoda, Octopodidae. The record is from RefSeq and is a predicted model, not a curated record.
GAGCACUCUGUACGACUGGCCCAGGGUGCUGAAUACCCUAAUACUGGCCUGAGAUGGCCAUUCAUUCUCUUUUUUCAGACUGGGAAAUGAUAAUUGCUAAUUAGUAGAUGUUAUGACAGAGAUUAUUAUGCGCUAUUUUUAAUUUUGCUACUUCCAGUAUAAAAGCUAAUGCAUAGUUCCCAAAGUGAGCAGGCACAACUUAACUGGUGUAAGUUCAGCUGUUGUUGAAGGAGUGUUUGUCUCUCUGACUAAUCAGAAAUACAAAAGAACAGGAGUCACAGACUUUGAGCAGAAGAAAGGAAGUGAUUUACAUUUGGAAGGUCAAUGCCAUAAAUCAGUCAUGUGUAAAUAGGAAGUAUCAAGGAAAUGAUACAAAACGUAGAAGCUGCUCAGUGUCUAGGCAUUCAGCUAAUACAAUAUAUAAAGAUAUUAAUUAGAGAAUAGAUUGUCCAGACAGGCAAAUUCAGUACAACAGUUGUGUAAGUUUGGACGAGAUUUCUCAGCUUAGGAAAUCCGCAACCGUUCCCUGAAGCUUAGCAGUAUUUUGACUGCUUGUGGAGUAAAAAGUCACCAGUUAGUUGGCCUAAUGUAAUUGUAAGAGGUGAAAAUCGUCGAUUUUUGCAGAAGUACAGUGUAAAAAGUGACUAUGAUAGAUCUGCUUACACUCUCGGUGAAUUUAUAGCCAUUCCAAAGAAAUAUAAAAUAAAAUUACAUUAUUUUAACGAGAAAUGUAACAUUGCGAAAGACGACAGCAUCCAAUCACUUUAUAAGAUUAGAACACCCUUUUCUUGAUCAGCAGAAGUUAAAACUUCCUAACCUCGCAAAUUGCAUGUUGAAAAGUGUAAAGAUGCUUGUUAAUGCUGACCGCUGACGAAAAGCUGCUUACAUCCAGCUUGAAAAUCAACAAUGAUUUUAGGCCCGUUCUUUAAAACCUAUUUCGAUAAAGGGUCAUGUUAAAAAGAUACAUUUCGGCAGAACGACAAGCUCAACUUCCCUGUGAAACCUGGACUCUACCACAUGAAUAUGGGCAGCCGUCUUCAGUGCAAACUCAAAAUCAAGAUAAUUCACAUAAAGAAUUCAAAGAUUGUGAGAGAAUUUUCGCCAGAGUCUAGUCUGAAAUGGCAGUCUUGCUUCAUAUCACUGUCAGAUGUCAAGUACAACACAUACUAUUAAAUAUCAGAAACCAAUUAUUAUUGAACUUAUUCAGUAAAAGACUUUGAACAUUCCAGAGUUUCUCUUAUGUUUCCAAAAGCAACAAUAAUAAUGAUAAUAACUUUAAAUAAAAAGUAAUGAUAAUAACAUUGAA